RNAcentral lists this ribosomal RNA (220 nucleotides) under uncultured bacterium. RNAcentral's name for it is "partial 16S ribosomal RNA". It matches the Rfam family "Bacterial small subunit ribosomal RNA", at positions 57 to 305 of the family's 1533-position model. The record is from RNAcentral.
GCAAGUCGAGCGCUCUCUUCGGAGGGAGCGGCGGACGGGUGAGUAACGCGUGGGAACAUACCCUUUUCUACGGAAUAGCCUCGGGAAACUGAGAGUAAUACCGUAUAAGCCCUUCGGGGGAAAGAUUUAUCGGGAAAGGAUUGGCCCGCGUUAGAUUAGAUAGUUGGUGGGGUAAUGGCCUACCAAGCCUACGAUCUAUAGCUGGUUUGAGAGGAUGAUC